Molecule: transfer RNA, 65 nt
Filed under: Hapalocarcinus marsupialis
Lineage: Eukaryota; Metazoa; Arthropoda; Malacostraca; Decapoda; Cryptochiridae
Description: tRNA-Arg
Source: RNAcentral
AAUUAGAAAGCGAAUUAUUGCAAUUAGUUUCGACCUAAGACUUAGGCUAACAGCCUUCUAAUUAU